AUGGUGACUCCACGCAUCUCCUGCGCCCCACAACCCUCUCCUUCCUGGCACAGGAGGAGCAGGAGCAAGGAUGCCGAGGCGGUUCAGGUAUUCCAGUCGCGAGGAAGAGUAGGAAGAUCAGGCAGAGAGGGUUUUACAUACCUCUUCCACACUGACAAGUCUUUGCUUUUCAGGAUUGCCAUGGCGUGCUGCUGUUUGUUGUUUGAUCCAUCGCUCUGCGGCAGGCUCACUGAUGGACUUGAAGGAGCUUUGGAUGGUGGUCUUGGUAUUCCACACAGUGACAAGAGAUUUGCUGGCUUCAAGAAGGAUAAGAAGCACCCGGGCGCUGAGAUUCACUGCAAAUACAUCUAUGAAGGUCAUGUUGCUGACUACAUGAAGAUGAAGCUCCUUCCCAGAUGCAGGCUGAUGGAUAGCGUUGGCGAAGAACGGUGUAAUCUUCCCAAGUGGUGGCUGAAGUUGGCAUGUUUGCCCACUGGACACGGAGUUGCACAACCGUCCGCCACUGAUGCAUCAGUAGGCGCGACAGAACCUAAGAAGUACCAAUCUCACUUCAGUGAGUACAUCAGGAAGAAUAUUGCGGCCGAUGACAAGGAAGCACUGUACAAGAAGUGCAUGGUGAACUACACAGCAAAGUUCAGCUGCAGUUCCUCUAUUUUCUUCCUACUAAGAGCCCUGACGAUUUGUACUACUUGGCUGCAAAUUUGUGCCGUUUGCAUCACCAUACGGAUAGUGGUUUGUUCUUCCGGCAUUAUUCAUGGGCGUCCUUUUACCAGAGCUAUGGAUUUUAUUAUGCCCCAUUUCCUUCAGGUCUUUUAUCGCUCCAUCCUUGAUUUAUCUGAGUCCAUUGGGGUUGCUCAUGAAUUACAGAAUUUAGGCUUACAUGACUCAGUUGAACGCUUCAUGCACAAACCACAGGGGGCGUUGACCCACCGUGGAUGUUGGUCGCUGCAUGCCUGCGCUGUUCUUUGCUCUGCUGCGUGGAGCGCUUGUGUUGCCAGCCUACAAUUGGUGUCGGGACUUUCGUUCGGUUCUGCUUGGCGGCGCUCCCAAACAGCUCACCUCGUGGCAGCAAGGUACGCCUUCAACUCAUUCCUCCCCUAUCUCUUCCCCCAACGCAACUUUCUGCCGUUAGUUGCUCCAGGCAAAGGAAGCUUGAGCAGGAGUCAGUCAAAAUAUGCAAGUAUGUGCACCCAGUUUGUUCAAGCCCCUUGCUCAGAAGUUGGUCUGGAGAUGCAAGAAUACAGUGCCUUUGCUGCUUGGGGUUCUUGCUUAACUUCCGCCUGCUGUGGAUGCCGCUUUGUGCUCGAGUUCUUGCUUAACUUCCGCCUGCUGUGGAUGCCGCUUUGUGUUUGGGUCUUUCCUUCUUGCUGCUGGUGUCGCUGUCUUUUUGUUGGCCAGGGGCAUGAUAUCUGGGGCAGCAGCCAAUCCUCCACGGGUGAAGUGAAGAUGAUAUCCAUCUCAGAAAGGAGAAAGGGUCACUGCUGGUCAAAUGCUUUGUGCCUAGGACUGAUAUGA
RNAcentral lists this ribosomal RNA (1515 nucleotides) under Triticum aestivum (bread wheat). RNAcentral's name for it is "partial small subunit ribosomal RNA". Lineage: Eukaryota; Viridiplantae; Streptophyta; Magnoliopsida; Poales; Poaceae. The record is from RNAcentral.